Molecule: ribosomal RNA, 418 nt
Filed under: uncultured bacterium
Lineage: Bacteria
Description: bacterial SSU rRNA
Rfam family: Bacterial small subunit ribosomal RNA
Source: RNAcentral
AUGCGCGUGACCGGCUCAGAGAUGAGCUUUUCCUUCGGGACACAAAGCAAGGUGCUGCAUGGCCGUCGUCAGCUCGUGCCGUGAGGUGUUGGGUUAAGUCCCGCAACGAGCGCAAACCCCUACUGUUUAGUUUGUCCACGCACGUAAUAGGUGGGGACGUCUAGACAGACUGCCUCGCGCAAGACAGUGAGGAAGGACGGGACGGACGUCAGGUCAUCAUGGCCUUACGCCUAGGCGACACACGUGCUACAAUGGACGGUACGAGCGGGUAGGCUACUGGGCGACCAGAUGCCAAUCUCGAAAAGCCGUUCUCAGUUCGGAUCGGAGUCUGCAACUCGACUCCGUGAAGCUGGAAUCACUAGUAAUCGCGCAUCAGCCAUGGCGCGGUGAAUACGUUCCCGGGCGGUCGACGCGGCCG